This 253-nucleotide ribosomal RNA is filed under the name uncultured bacterium. Its description in RNAcentral is "partial 16S ribosomal RNA". It matches the Rfam family "Bacterial small subunit ribosomal RNA", at positions 524 to 776 of the family's 1533-position model. The record is from RNAcentral.
UACGUAGGGUGCGAGCGUUGUCCGGAAUUAUUGGGCGUAAAGAGCUCGUAGGCGGCUUGUUACGUCGGAUGUGAAAGCCCGGGGCUUAACUCCGGGUCUGCAUUCGAUACGGGCAGGCUAGAGUUCGGUAGGGGAGAUCGGAAUUCCUGGUGUAGCGGUGAAAUGCGCAGAUAUCAGGAAGAACACCCGUGGCGAAGGCGGCUCUCUGGGACGGUACUGACGCUGAGACGCGAAAGCGUGGGGAGCGAACAGG